GAUGAAGAACGUAGCAAAAUGCGAUAAGUAAUGUGAAUUGCAGAAUUCAGUGAAUCAUCGAAUCUUUGAACGCACAUUGCGCCCGCUGGUAUUCCGGCGGGCAUGCCUGUUCGAGCGUCAUUUCAACCCUCAAGCCCCCGGGUUUGGUGUUGGGGAUCGGCUCUGCCCUUCUGGGCGGUGCCGUCCCCGAAAUACAUUGGCGGUCUCGCUGCAGCCUCCAUUGCGUAGUAGCUAACACCUCGCAACUGGAACGNGGCGCGGCCAUGCCGUAAAACCCCAACUUCUGAAUGUUGACCUCGGAUCAGGUAGGAAUACCCGCUGAACUUAAGCAUAUCAAUAAGCGGAGGA
This 348-nucleotide unclassified non-coding RNA is filed under the name soil metagenome. Its description in RNAcentral is "partial contains 5.8S ribosomal RNA, internal transcribed spacer 2, and large subunit ribosomal RNA". The stretch from base 1 to 120 matches the Rfam family "5.8S ribosomal RNA", at positions 35 to 154 of the family's 154-position model. The record is from RNAcentral.